CUAGAAAAACUAGAUACAACAUCAGGAUUUUAACAUCAUUCAUAAAACCACUGCUGUUAUAUGUCUUUUUAACAUCAAUUUUUUUUAACACGAUGUUAAACCAUAUUUUAGACAUCAAUUUCUUAAAUAACUGAUAUCUUAUUAUCAGUAUUAAAAAAAGAAAAAAAAGCACAGCACAGUUCUCCCUUAUUACACAACACUCGUUGGACUCAACCAAAAAAUAAAACAUAUCAUAAAAAUUCUCCCCCUUUUCUAUUUCUCUCUCGGACAUUCUCUCACUUUGUCUCCCCUCUCUCGAUAACUCUCUCUCUCCGCUGUAGCACUACCUCUCACCAUCUCCCUCUUCCAUCUCUCCCUCUCUAACCAUCUCCCUCACUACAGUAGAAUAAUCGAUUUAAAAGAAACAAGUAGUCGGCUAAUUAGGGUUUUGAAAGGGGAUCUGAAGAAGGAAGAAAUUGAAGCUUUUUAUGUGUGUUUGUUGUGUAUAUAUGUGUUUUUAUUAUCUAUUGGUGGUGGUGGUGGUUAAUUAACGGCGGCGACGUUAACCAGAUUUGAAGGGGACUGUAGGGUAUUUGUGUCUUGGCGAUGGCGAUAGGCCGAUAUCGUGUUGUACGGGUCCGAUAGAAGUUGCUCCGAAAUAUUGCAGUGGUGCUUGGGAGAGGUUGAAGUUUUGUGCUCGAAGCAGGGCCAUUGACGGGGAUUGUCUGGAAGGAAGUAGUUGAGCUCAGCAUGGAAUGGUUGGAAAUUGAAGAAGAAGGCUGAGUAUUGGGUUGAUUUGGACUCACCAAGUUAACUCAGUUGGAGACUUGCGACAGAUUUCCUCUCAAACUACAUAAUGGCAAGCAUGCUUUGACAUUGAUCUUUGUGGAGACCAAGAGGGGAGCUGAUUCAAUAGAAAGCUGGUUAGGCAGAAAUGGCUUUUUAGCAACACAAUACAUGGUGAAAAAGGCUAGAUGGUAAGUGCAAUUUUUUUGUCUUGAAUUUCAAAGUUUGAUGCUCUUUCUCUGUCUUGAUAUGUAAAUAUACAACUUCACGUUGGAGGCUGCUACAUUGUAAUAACUUUAUUAACUUAUUGUGAAUUUGAAUAUCUUUUUAAUUCUACAAUAAAUAUCUGAUUUUCUAUUCUUAAUUUUGAUAUUACCUGAAGUUUUCCUUCAUGUUGUGGUAUGAUAUACUUUUUGAUGACUGAGAGAAAGGGAACGUGCCUUGAGAUCUUUCGUAACUGGAGUAUGGCAGAACAGGCAUAACCCAUUACAAGACUCUUGUGCAGCUCAUGCAGGAAGUCAAACAACAAGUUCCUUCCUGGCUCACUAUUGAGGAGACAUCUGCAUCUUAUGAUGGUGGGAGGGCAUAUCGACCUGGAGGCAGCAAGUUUGGUGGCCAUGAUUUCAGAAAGGCAACAAAUAUAUAGUAACGAUUUGUACUUCUAGCUAGCUGUGAUUUUUGUGGAUUACGAGCUACUUUAAUUUGUGGUAUUUGAUAUAUAUGAGUAGAGUUUUGACUUGGUAAUUGGUACGAUGGCUGUUGUUUAAUUUAUUGUGGUGCAUAUUUUUUAGAUGGUGAUGUCAUGAAUAGAAGAA
Molecule: long non-coding RNA, 1580 nt
Organism: Daucus carota subsp. sativus
Lineage: Eukaryota; Viridiplantae; Streptophyta; Magnoliopsida; Apiales; Apiaceae
Exons: 4
Source: RefSeq, a predicted model, not a curated record